This is a small nuclear RNA of Rattus rattus (black rat), 104 nucleotides long. NCBI's taxonomy places the organism in Eukaryota, Metazoa, Chordata, Mammalia, Rodentia, Muridae. The record is from RefSeq and is a predicted model, not a curated record.
GUGCUUGCUCUGGCAGCACAUAUACUAAAAUUGGAACGAUACAGAGAUUAGAUUGGCCCCUGCGCAAGGAUGACACGUACAUUAGUGAAACGUUCCAUAUUUUU